This 2207-nucleotide small RNA is filed under the name Pongo abelii (Sumatran orangutan). Its description in RNAcentral is "transcribed unitary pseudogene". Lineage: Eukaryota; Metazoa; Chordata; Mammalia; Primates; Hominidae. The record is from RNAcentral.
AUGAUGAGCCUGACUCUACUAUUUUGCCUGCUGUCUUUUCAAUUUCCUUUUGUUUUUCCUGCAAGAAACAUUUCUCUGAAGUGCAUGCAAGAUACUGAUGAAUUCCUUUCCGAUCUGAAUUCAGUGAAGCCCAAAGAAUACGCUCUAAGACCAUUCUACACGGGAUUAGAUGUCCGGAUACUUCUCCAGAAAAGUAAUUCUGCAAAUUUAUCUUGCCUUGCAAUUCAGUGUAUGACUCUCUGGGAAAGCUUGGGAGCAACAUUUUCAAUGGAAACAUGGACAGGCUGGGAUCAUACAGCGAGUGUCUUUCCACCUAUGCUCCCAAGGGGAACUUCCGAGGGCAGUACUGCAAGCUUCAUAUACUGCAGGUGAGUGUGGGGGACCUGCAUGUUUGCUCUUGCAGGACAAGUGAAUGUCAUGAUAUAGAACAAAAUACAACUGUUUCCUAGGAUGGGGCUGACUACAGUGUGGGCGUGUGUGUCCCUGAUUCUUGUGCUGAAGAGGAUGUGACUCUGAUGUCUCGGCUGGGUAGGUACAAAACUUUAAGAUUCAGAAAUACUUCAUUUUUGGCCCCUUCCCUCUUUCUUUUCACAAUAAAUUCUUCUUCCUCAUCUGGUGGGAGUGUGGCCAGAUGUGCUGCUGGAAAGUUCCCCCUGGACACAUUUGCUGCCGUGUGUCUGUGGAGGUUGGAUCUCUGCUCUUGACAGUCCCGUCUUUGUUUACCAGCAGCAUGCUUUCUAGGAGCCGUGGCUCAUGCUCUGGAGUGCUUUUCUUGGCAGAAGAAUGUGCCAGCCAUCUGGACUACAAAGACACCAGGUGGCACCUGCUCUGCACUGAAUGGCAUUCGUGUCUUGAGUCUUCUCUGGAUCAUCUUGGGACACACCAGUCAGAUGACUGCAUGGCUGUCUUUGGAUAAUGUGCUUGAAUGGAAAAGCAAAGUGCUUAGAAACCCACUGUACGUUUACUCUUGGAGCGGUCCCUUCUAUCUUGGAGUUGAUACAUUUUUCCUGAUCUUUUCUUUUAGUGGUUGGUUAAGUGCAAGCUCGUUUUUAAAGAUGCAUCAGAAUUCAGACAAAGGAAUAAUCCCCAAAGGCAUACUCAGAUACUUUCUCAGUCGCCUGGUAAGGCAGCUCUCUCCUGCCAGGUUGCAGCCUCUUCACCUAUAUUCAGUGUGCUUGUUGGUUGGACUGUUCUCUCUUGUUCCCUGGGGACCUGUCUGGGAAGUGCCCAAAUUCCACUGGGAUAACUGCCGGCAAGCAUGGUGGACAAAUCUGCUGUUGCUAAAUAACUUUGUGUCGGUCAAGAAUGCGUCAUCCAAGGGAACUCUUGGGUUCUCCACAAAACAUCAUCUGGAGCCAAGCCUCUCUUUUCAGUGCAAUGGCUGGACCUGGUACCUUGCCAAUGACUUCCAGUUCCACCCCACCACACCAGUGAUUAUCUUCAUCCACGCAAAGAGGAGUACACAGAUCCUCAUCCUCCUUGGGUCCAUGCUGUUCUUGGUGUCUUUCACGGCCACCGCUCUGAUCACAUUGGCAUAUAAACUUCCUGUCGUGGCUCCAUCAAGUGAAGAGGCGACUGUAUUGUAUUUCGUGGAGUACUACACAAAGCCCUCCUGCUGAUUUGGGCCAUUUCUUGUAGGCCUCUUUCUGAGCAUUUACAUGCACCAAAACCACCAGGAAAACAUUCUCAGAACCAAGGUACUCCUCUCCCCGCAGAUGCAGGUCCUGCUGGGGUGGAGCUGCUCCCUUGUCACCCUAUUUGCGGUGACCGCUCUGGCAUACAUGGUGGAUGACUCCUCUGCUUCCUCUCUAGUAGCUGCAGCUCUCUACCAAGCCCUCCACCGGACCUUGUGGGCGGCGGCCGUGGGCUGGGUCCUUUUUGCGUGCCACGGAGGAUAUGGAGGUGGUCUGGUGAACCGUGUGCUUUCUUGGGACAUCUGGAGUUUCCUGUCCAGCAUCAGUUAUGCUUGCUACUUGGUGCCUCCGAUUCUGAUCAUCCUUUACAAUGGCCUUCAGGAAACACUUAUUCACUACACCGACACCAACAUGGUGUAUCUUUUCUCUGGACACUGUGUGCUGACCUUCGUCACUGGGCUGGCCCUGACGCUGUUCAUUGAGAAACCAUGUCAGGAACUGAAGCAGCGCCUGCUGGGCCAUGAAUGUCGUGAAUUUAAUGUAAUUUGGGUUAUGAAGCUCAUUUGGGUUAUG